UUUGCUCUUCUUUUCUUUUUCAUUUUCUCUCAACACAACACACCUCUCUCUCUCACUCCCUCACUCUCCCACCGGCACCUUCACUUCUCAUCACCUCAACCAUCUUUUUCUGGCAAAGUAUACCGGAAAACUCCAUAAGAAUAAGGUUCUAACUAAUCUCCUUUGGAGCUUGGAGAGUUAGGCUUUUUGCGGGUUGCAAGAGUAGGCAACAAUCUUUUGAGACAGCUUUUUGGUGGCUAAUAGUAGUUAGACUAACUACUGAUGGAGGCUGAACUUUUGUAAUGGAGAUAUUAGAUGUUGUACAUCUUAGAAUAGGCUUGACUCAUUCUUUUGUAUAUUAUAGUGGUUGUGACUUUAUUUCCACUAAUGGGACAAACUGUUGAUAUGUAAUUAUUUAUUCAGACCUCUAUUAUUUUGUGGCCAGUGGUCAUUGUAAUUAAUGCUUAGAGCUCUGACUUACUCUGAGAGUAUAUUCAAUGAAAUUAUAAUGAUAAUUCUUGA
This is a long non-coding RNA of Quercus robur (English oak), 501 nucleotides long. RefSeq lists it as uncharacterized. NCBI's taxonomy places the organism in Eukaryota, Viridiplantae, Streptophyta, Magnoliopsida, Fagales, Fagaceae. The transcript is spliced from 3 exons. The record is from RefSeq and is a predicted model, not a curated record.